Molecule: non-coding RNA, 31 nt
Filed under: Homo sapiens (human)
Lineage: Eukaryota; Metazoa; Chordata; Mammalia; Primates; Hominidae
Source: RNAcentral
UAAGCCACACGCAAAGGUUGGGUCAAUAUGA